UGCAAAUGGUCACCCUGAAUCUCUUCUGACAUUGGAUGUUAUUUGCUUAUAUUCUUAUAAUUUUAAAUGAGGGGACAGUGAAAUGAAAAUUUUAUACUCUAUGUUUCUGUUUAUUUUUAAAUCCUUAACAGCAAAAUAUUUGCCUUUAAUUUCUUUUUUAUAUAUACUCUCAGAGAAUUCCUCUUAAUUUUUAAAGAUGCUGGUGAUAAU
RNAcentral lists this long non-coding RNA (210 nucleotides) under Homo sapiens (human). RNAcentral describes it as "LHRI_LNC1549.1". Lineage: Eukaryota; Metazoa; Chordata; Mammalia; Primates; Hominidae. The record is from RNAcentral.